UAGUAAAAUAGCACAUCACACUGCCUUGUCAGGACAGAAUUGUAGGUUAAAAUCCUGCGGGCCCUG
Molecule: transfer RNA, 66 nt
Filed under: Leptochilichthys agassizii (Agassiz' smooth-head)
Lineage: Eukaryota; Metazoa; Chordata; Actinopteri; Alepocephaliformes; Leptochilichthyidae
Description: tRNA-Asp
Source: RNAcentral